Molecule: non-coding RNA, 54 nt
Organism: Salmo salar (Atlantic salmon)
Lineage: Eukaryota; Metazoa; Chordata; Actinopteri; Salmoniformes; Salmonidae
Source: Rfam
UGCAUUCACUACUGUAAGUCACUCUGGAUAAGAGUGUCUGCUAAAAGACUAAAA